CAGUAGCCGCGGUAAUACGGAGGGUGCAAGCGUUAAUCGGAAUUACUGGGCGUAAAGCGCACGCAGGCGGUUUGUUAAGUCAGAUGUGAAAUCCCCGAGCUUAACUUGGGAACUGCAUUUGAAACUGGCAAGCUAGAGUCUUGUAGAGGGGGGUAGAAUUCCAGGUGUAGCGGUGAAAUGCGUAGAGAUCUGGAGGAAUACCGGUGGCAAAGGCGGCCCCCUGGACAAAGACUGACGCUCAGGUGCGAAAGCGUGGGGAGCAAACAGGAUUAGAUACCCGCGUAGUCCCUGUCUCUUAUAC
RNAcentral lists this ribosomal RNA (301 nucleotides) under uncultured bacterium. Its description in RNAcentral is "partial 16S ribosomal RNA". It matches the Rfam family "Bacterial small subunit ribosomal RNA", at positions 509 to 807 of the family's 1533-position model. The record is from RNAcentral.